CAAAGGUUUGGUCCUGGCCUUUCCAACAACUCUAGCUUAACUUACACAUGCAAGUAUCCGCACCCCUGUGAGAAUGCCCCACAGUUCCCCGACCGGGAACAAGGAGCCGGUAUCAGGCACACUCCCAUUAGCCCAUGACACCUUGCUCAGCCACACCCUCAAGGGAAUUCAGCAGUGAUAAACAUUAAGCCAUAAGUGAAAACUUGACUUAGUCAAAGCUAAGAGGGCCGGUAAAACUCGUGCCAGCCACCGCGGUUAUACGAGAGGCCCGAGUUGUUAGACUUCGGCGUAAAGCGUGGUUAAGACUCCUAAACACUAAAGCCAAACACCUUUCCCACUGUUAUACGUUCACGAAGGUAGGAAGCCCAAUCACGAAAGUAGCUUUACAACAUCUGAACCCACGAAAGCUAGGGUACAAACUGGGAUUAGAUACCCCACUAUGCCUAGCCGUAAACAUAGACAGUUCAUAUACCUAACUGUCCGCCCGGGAACUACGAGCAUUAGCUUAAAACCCAAAGGACUUGGCGGUGCUUUAAACCCCCCUAGAGGAGCCUGUUCUAGAACCGAUAAUCCCCGUUCAACCUCACCCUUCCUUGUUCUUUCCGCCUAUAUACCACCGUCGUCAGUUUACCCUGUGAAGGUACAACAGUAAGCACAAUCGGCACAGCCCAAAACGCCAGGUCGAGGUGUAGCGUAUGGAAGGGGAAGAAAUGGGCUACAUUCCUUAUCAUUAAGGCAUACGGAUGAUAUGUUGAAACACAUAACUGAAGGAGGAUUUAGCAGUAAGCAGGAAGUAGAGUGUCCCGCUGAAACCGGCUCUGAAGCGCGCACACACCGCCCGUCACUCUCCCCGAGCUAAGAUUUGUCAUUUAACUAAAACCUUAUAACUGUAAAGGGGAGGCAAGUCGUAACAUGGUAAGUGUACCGGAAGGUGCACUUGGAAUAAACAUAC
Molecule: non-coding RNA, 952 nt
Filed under: Centropyge eibli (blacktail angelfish)
Lineage: Eukaryota; Metazoa; Chordata; Actinopteri; Pomacanthidae
Description: 12S ribosomal RNA
Rfam family: Bacterial small subunit ribosomal RNA
Source: RNAcentral